RNA transcript from Phymastichus coffea, 997 nucleotides. RefSeq lists it as uncharacterized. Lineage: Eukaryota; Metazoa; Arthropoda; Insecta; Hymenoptera; Eulophidae. The transcript has 3 exons. The record is from RefSeq and is a predicted model, not a curated record.
UCAAUCAAUUUAGCCCGGGUCGGGGGUGCGCCGCGCGGCAACAGCCAGCGCGAGAGAUUAUUAGCUGCCGCUCUCCUUCUCUCUUGCUUUCCGUUCGUCCUGCUGUGCGUUCGGUCGGCGCUGUGGGAAAUGCUCGCGCGAAUGUCGCCCCCGCGCGCGGGACUUGGGAUGGACGGCGCGACGGUGGUAUCGAGCAGCCAGCGGCGCGCGCCACAGCAGCGACUCGAUAAUCUAGCCUCGAGCAUUGCGCAUGGCUGGAUUUCCAGGUUCGCAGACAACAAUAGAGAUGAAUGUCAACGAAGCCGAACUAUAAUUGAUCGUUGAGCGACUAUUCGAUCUAUCUGUGCGUAUAUUUUCGAGCUGAAUUCCAAGAAAAAUAUAGCAGCGCUAUUUAAAAAAUGACAGUAACGACAGAGCUGAAGGAAAUCAAAGAAAUGCUGCGCAAGAUAAUUAGAGACAUGACGAAAAUAAGAGAAAGCCAGAGGCAGAUGAAAGAGGAGAUGUACGAAGUCAAAGGCGAUCUGCGAAGAUUUCGUGAUUUAUGGAAGAAGGAAAAAGCCGAGAUAGAGAACAGGCUGGCAAAGCUCGAGGAGGACAAAGUCAAGAGGGAGCUCGUGCAGAGACUCGUUAGAUUCGAGAAAAUGGACGAAGCCAUCGAACUGAAGGAGAAAAGGUCCAUCGGCUUGCCCGGCUCGGAGUCGUCCCUGCGACACAGCGAGCAACUGCAAAAGUGCAUCGAGAGUAUCGUUAAGAGGGGAAGACAACACGGCAGCACCGUCAAUAUCGAGUACAAGAAGUUGUGCACCAACGAGAAGAAUAUGAUUCUCAAGGACGGCCAGAGAUUGAUUAGGCAUUUCUUCGGUUCGCGCAAAACUGACCUUUAAAGCGUUCGCCGUUAUUGUGGCUUCGAUCGCUUCUACUAGUGCACAAAGCUGCCUUAUGUAAUCCAUCAUGCACCAAUCCUCUUGGAAUUUCUGUACAAAUGGCUGGACUUAGA